This is a non-coding RNA of Anas platyrhynchos (mallard), 6754 nucleotides long. Lineage: Eukaryota; Metazoa; Chordata; Aves; Anseriformes; Anatidae. The record is from RefSeq and is a predicted model, not a curated record.
CGCUCCUCGUAGGACUUGUUCUCCAGACCCCUCACCAGCUUCGUCGCCCUUCUCUGGACCCGCUCAAGCCCCUCGAUGUCCUUCUUGUAGCGAGGGGCCCAAAACUGAACACAGUACUCGAAGCUAUAGUAUCUCUUCAUCUAGUCUCCUGUCUUGCUCACUGUACUUGCUGAUACCUGCAGCACUGUGCCUUAUGUGUUCUUUAAUAUGUAAUGUGCAGUAAUUCCAAAAGCAUGCCUAUACCAGUAAUAAUUUAACUAGGUAAUGUUUGGUGCAUUACCUGCAGCACUUUCUGCUUUGCGCAGCAUCUCCUGGCUCCUGCUGAGUUUCCUGUGGCCCAUGUAACUUCCACUUGGGAAAGCAGAAUGCCCUGGUAGGGUUGCCAGAUCCCUCUGGUCACAGUCCCACCCUGCCGUACACACACAUCCCUUGUUUCUGGUGCAUCCUGUUUAUUCCCAGUCCCAGCUCUCUCUUCUGCCUCCUCUCUCCUUCCCCAUGGCCCUUCCUGUCCAGGGUAGUGGUUGAGUCGCCAUCCCUGGAGGUCUUCCAGAAGCAUGUAGAUGUAGACCUGGAGAGCAUGAAGCAUGUAGAUGUAGACCUGGUGGUGGGCUUGUCAGUGCUCGUUUAAAGGUUGGACUGGAUGGUCUUAGGGUCUUUUUGGACCGGAGUGACUCUAUGAUUCCUGCUCACGGUAGCCAGACCUUGGUUCAACAACCCCAGUCUUCUGCCAACUGAAAUCUUAAUGCAAGUGUUUAAACAAGUAAGGAAAUGGAGAGAAGCAAUACCAAGCGAAUAAUUUAUGGCAAGAAUUAGGACAAAGAGGAGAUGCCUGGCAGAUUUGUAAACUACAAUCUACUAGUUAUAUUUGAAUGGGGCUGUUUGGUUGUUCUCCUGAAGCCAUACGCAAGGCUGUAUAAACAUGAUUAAUGGUAGAGAGGGCCAGCAAGGACUAUUAAACACACAAGUCCAGGGUCAAACACUGGCUUAAGAAGCUUUCAACCACCGGUUGUCAAGAGACUAAAAGAGCGGAAGUAUCACUGUGGGUGCUUGCUACACGCUUUCCCUAAGGAUUUUCAGGUAGGUGAGCAGCGGCUCUGGUUCAUUAAGACUAGAUAUGUUCUCCCAAACACAUGCUAGCACACAAUUUCUGUAGUGUUGUGGCAACAUAUACGCUACUGCAAGUAAAAUAUGACAUGUGCUGCCAAAGAAAUCACAUUCUGAAAACAGUGCAGCACACUUAAUAUUGUUUAAAAUGUUUUUCCUGUAACAGGGGAAGACCUGCCCAUUUGCCUUUGUGCUUGUUAUUCCUUCUCAGGAGUGGAGCCUUCCUCCCUGAAAACUUACCAGUGUAUAAACAAGCAAUUAGGAAAACCUAACCUUUCUUAGUCAGUUGCAGUCAGAUACUUCAUCUUCUCAAAAUUGCAUUAUCAGCUUAAAGAUUAAAACAAAUGCCUUUAUUGUUUUCACCAACAAGAAAAUGCCUCUGUGCCACCAGAAUCAAAGUCAUUAGACAGUAUUUUUAAAGAAGCAAAGCUCCGCUGAUUCAUACCCAAAUUCAGUGGAAGUUAUGUUAAAAUACUGUCAGGCUGUUGCUUUGUUUUGCAGAAGGGAAAGUUGUUUUAGAGAGAGACAUUACAUAUGGGCCGUAUGCUGAUUGAACAGUUCUUCACACUUCUUUUUGAAUGUUAAACUGUUCUCACAGAACUAAUUUAAAGUGUAUAAAAAAAAGCUCCCUCUCUUUACCUGUUUUGCUAUUCUUCCAGGAACUGCAUCAAACUCCACUCACAGAUAUAGCUGAAUGCGCCUCACAUAAAUGUAAGAGACAUAUUCUACCAGACACCCAACUUCCUAAAGCACAGUGUAUUUUCCACAUUCCAGCAUACAUUCCAGGGGCCAUAUAGCUGUGUGAGUUUGUCUCCAGGAAAGUUCAGCCUCCAAAACACAAGAGACAAAUUCUGCUGGAGGAGUGGGUGGGAGAGGACAGGCAAGGAGGAGAAAGUUCAAGUGCUCCUGGGUGGGAGGUGGAACAGUACUGGAGGUAGAUCAGUCUGUUUUGGUCAAAACAACUGUUAUUACCACAUCUGGUUCUUUAAAUGCCUGUGGAAGUGUGUCUUGUGGGAGCUGCAUGGCUCAUGCUUAGAUUAAUGACUUGCUCCUCUGCUUGAUUCCAAUACAGGACUCUUCCCCCAUCUCCCAAGUGGAAGAGGAGUUGCAGUCUUUAACAGUCUCCCUGCGUGAUUCGUGAAUUUUCCAGAUGAUUCUCCUGAGUGGUGAGGACACUGAAAUGGGGGAAGCUGUGUAGAGGAUUAACUCUAUUUUACCAGAAUCUGUCUCUAACUUGCAAUGUGUAAAAUGACAAAUAUGUCUUUUAGAAUUCCUUCUGUAAUCUGGUCAUGUGCAGGACUUUGGUUAUUGCAUGUCCCUGAGGAGAGAAAGAGAAUGUCUGCUUAAAAUGUUGAAUGCUUUGUUAGUGAUUGCCAGCAUACUUGCAAAGUUGAAGCUCAUGUAAGGGGUGAGGUUGAGGAACACAGGCAUGAUAUGAGGGACCGUCCUCGCUCUGGCAGCUACACUAGCUGCAUCACAGAUCCUAUUUUUAUGAGGUAACAUGUGCCUAGGGAGUAUGCUUCAAAUCUGAAUAAUCCUGCUGUGGUCACAUAUAGCAAGUCUGUAACUCAGUAGCUCUGCCAUGUACCAAAAUAUCUAAUGUUAGGAAGUGCCAUUUCAGAAAUCUUGGUCUCAUUUCUCAAUGCUCUGUGCUAGAAAACAAACUCCAUGGGUGUGUGUAGUCCUGCAGUGCCUCUACAAUAGGAGGCUCUGGGGGCUGGGCUUGUGCUGGAAGAUUUUCCAUCUCUCUUUGUGCCUCCUGCUUCAUUCCAAGGGAGUGAGACAGAAAUGAGCCAGUGGAACUGUACAGCCGGGGGCAAGUAAUGAGCAGAUAUAGAAGCUCUGUGAUUCCAUGGGGGUAUCUGAAAAAUCCAGGGCUAGUUUUAACUAGCAUUUCUAGUGGCCAAUUUGAACCAAUUUUAUUCCACCAUGGUGCAGAGACAUGGUGCAUGGUACAAUAGUAGGAAAAUCCAUGCUGUACAUCUACUGAUGGUGUUUUUCUAUCACACCUCUAACUGCUGUAUCAUAGGAACACCCAUGGUACUGCUGAAACCUUGAAACAGCAAGGCACGAGUCUCUAUUUGUCAUCCUCUGUUCAUUAACACCAUAGCUCUUUACCAGUUGGGUUUUGGAGAACCUCUCAUCAUUAAGGCUGCUUCUGUGCGAACAGAUGGCUGCACUGUGUGACAUCCCAAGUGUCUGUUGGGACCUAGCACAGAUAAAUGGGUUUGCUCAGCCUGUUGGCCUGCACAUCUUGUAUUUACCUGGUACUAGGAGAAAGAACAAACAUAGGAAGCAGCCUGAAACCCUGCAGGCCAAGCCCUCCCAUGGCCAUAGGACCAGUGCCAUUAACACUGGCCCAUCUAUGUUUAGGUUUGGGGGUGAAUGUAUCUACCCUUUGAGAACCACAGCCGAAAGCUCUGCUGCAGAGGCCCUUGCAGAGUUAACGCAUAGCUCCACUGCUCCCUCAGCUCCACUGUUGUGAUUAAAUAACAUCAGCUGUGCUAGGAGUGUGGCAGGGAGAGCAGGUGGAUCCUGCCAAGCCAGCGAAAACCAGCAUUUCCUCUGAGAAGAAACACAGCUGCAAGUGGUGUGGAGCUUCCUCCCACUGCAGGAGAGGUGAUGGGGCAGCAGGUGGCUCAGGAGCUCUGCUGUCAUGCCUCUGGUGACAUUGCGUGUCAGGCUGCUACUGAGGCUGGGCAAGUGUGCUUGUCCCCAGUCCUGCGGGGGAGCUGAGGGGAGCACAGAGGCAUGCAAAAUCCUGAAGGAAUGUACAAAAUACCUGCUGGCUAAGAAAGCUGUGCACAGUAAAAUCUUGCUGGACUGCCUGGCCUUUAGAGGCUGUUCUGUAAACAAGGUUGCUUGAGCCUAUUUUUUGGAAGGAGCUAGAAACUCUGGUUUAUCUGAAACUUGCUGCUGAGUAAACAUUCUUGAAGACAGACCGAUGGAAAUGAAGUAGUUGCAACUCGGGUGCAGUGACCUUGGUGCUGGUUGUUCUGGUCUGUGGUUUUGGUUUGCCGUCUUGCAGUAUGUUAUCUGAGCCAUCCAGGCUGUCAGGUCAAUUAGCGGGUGCUGCUCUAAGUGCUGCUUUCCUGCCCUGAAAAGCCAGGCACCAGGGCUUGCCCCGUGGCUCUGGUAAGGCUCGAGGCAGCGUGUCAUGUGUGGGGAGAGGUGCUGCUGCAGCAGGUCGCUGAGGGGGCCGCCGCCACACGCUCACCCCAGCUGUCGCAGGGAGGCGGUUACGUGAGGGCUGCCUCCUCAUGGCUGAGCUCCAUCGGUGAGCUUCGACAGAAGUGGGAACAAGCCUGCUGAGAGGCCUCGGUGCCACCAUUAUUUUUCCCUCUGGCAUCUCUGGAAGAGCCUUGAGACGUGAAACCGCUAUGGUGUCUGUUUUUCCCUUAUAUGUAACUCUCCUGAUAAAGGCUGUAUGUGACCUUUUCUUUCUUGUUGUUCUCUGUCAGAGGAAAAGAAGCCUGCCUGGCCUUGGGUUAAUGCUUUUCCUUGCUCAAAUCCUGUUUUUCUAAAGUUCUCACUGAAACACUCACAUUGUUUUUAGGACAAAAAUAUAAAGCCCAAAUAUGCACUGGCGACAUACAAACAAGGCGUUUCCUUGAAGCGAUGAGAGGCUGCGUGGCACUGCCAGCGAGCCCUAGGCUGGUGCCAGGGCUUCAUCGCUGGGCAGUGGCUGCUCUGCCGGGCACAUUCCUCCCUCCCUUCAGGAUAAGCACUGUGUGAGAGCCCUCUUAAAGCAGAACCUCUCGUAUUUAGCUCCCCUCCUUCCUGUAAUAACAAAUGGGGGAGAUUGUGUAACUUGCCGCUGGCUGCCAACGUCUCUCUCAGAGGUUUACAGAAAACUUGCUCAUGGUUUAUUGUCAUUGCUGUGCCUGACUGGAAAUGAAGUCAAAUGCCAGCUUCAAAGCGAGCUGCUUGGUGUUACUCUGUUUGAUACUUUUCCCCUGCAUGCCUCUUCUCCUUGGGUUGCUGUCUCGAGAUCACAGCACUGACGGUUGUUUCUCUUUUGAGGUUUCAUGAACAACUGCACGGGCAGGAAAGGCUCUUUCCAUACAUGCGUGCCACACAGUGCUUUCUGUUGUGCGUGACACUGAGCAUAAACCAGGCCUGGCUUUUGGUUGUGCCCUCAGUGCAUGGCUUCACGGGAGCUGAGCUCUCCUCCCCAGAUGAUCAGGAGAGCACCUCCAGUGCUCAGGUCAUGGUUGGUUGGCCACGAGUCUUUUUGGAGCUGUUUUGCGAUACCUGUGUCCACCAUGGAAGUGACAGUAAACGUAGGUUAAUGUCCUCUUUCUACUAACACCUUUCUUAAAAGUCCAAGGCUUGGAGCAGAAAGAGUCAGAAACAGAACCCUCUGUUUUUAGUUUGUGUCACUUUAAGGCUCUGCUGUGGUUGGGGCCAUCUGUGUUUGUCAGUUCCUUCUGUUAACCAAAAAUCCCAAGCUGAGGAAAACGAAAACCUGCCUUGCAGUUGUAGUGAGAUGGAAUUGGCCAUGGGCUGUGGCAGAGUCAGACAGAAUUCCUGCCUGGAUAAAAACUGACUAUUUGAGUAACUUGCAGCAAGAAUUUGACUGCGAAGCUGGCUCGCUUCAUCGCGCUGCCUUCAGAUGUUUGUACGCUGUGCUGAGUCAGCACCAUGCUCUGGGGUUUGUGGUGUUCCUUGGCUGUGCCUCAGGGAUGGCUGAGCACACAUUUCUCACUAAAGCUCUUUGAUCCUUUGUGUUUGGUUUAUUCACAGUUCAAAUCUCCCUGUUACCUUUCAUUCUGCUUUUGUGACCAGCUGCUGCAGUAGUGUCUCUUCUUCCUUCCCAUGGAUUUUGGAGAGCUGAUGUGGAUUUCACCAUGGCAUAGCCAUAACUCUGUUUUUCUGUCACUUUGCUGGAAAAUCCCCAGCAGGUCUGAUGUUAACAUUUGAGUUUUGUUUUCCUUGUUCAGUGCACCAAUGUACUUCCUGUUCCUGACAGCUAUGGGGACUGUCCUCUGCCUUGUGUGCCCAGCUGAAAAGCAAUGAUUUUUUUGAGGGCCAAAAAUCUCUUGCAUUUUUCUUAAAGUGACUGGGUUCCAGGUUUGACUCAAGGAACAGAAAGACCAGCUUUCAGCUAGUCUCAUUUCCUGAACUAGGUUACCCCAGUGUCAGGUAAGUGCACGGUUGGUGCAUGGUGGGGAUGGUUGUGCAGUGCUGAGCUAUGUGGGUUUUGACACCUUCAGACAGUAGUCUGAACAAGGAAAUUCUUCUUGUAGCUGAUCCCCACACAUCACAUUUAGGAGUCUUUUAGGAAGAUGUGACUCCACAAAUCCCCCACCUGUAUGUGUUUUUUUUUUGAACUGAGCAUUCAGGCUGCCUGGUCUCCUUCCUGCUGGGUUUGCAGACUUUAAUGAAUUCUUGAAUUCCUGCUAACAGAUUUAUUUAGCUAAAAAAAAAAAAAAAAAAGGAAGAAAAAAAAAAAGGAAAUGCCCCAUUAAUGCACUGGAGAUAGAAUCAGGCUGGAAAACUUCAAGACGGACUGCUGUAAUAGCACAGCCCAUGAUGUAAAACCCAUGUGUUCAGCAGGCCAGAUGCCAGGAGUCCCAGGCUCUAAUCCCAGUGCUGAGGCUCCCAAGCUUGGGUAAUAAAAUUAAAGGAGAAGAGAAAGAAAAAGAGG